RNAcentral lists this transfer RNA (73 nucleotides) under Ornithorhynchus anatinus (platypus). RNAcentral describes it as "tRNA-Lys (CTT) (tRNA-Lys-CTT-9-1)". It matches the Rfam family "tRNA". Rfam says of the family: Transfer RNA (tRNA) molecules are approximately 80 nucleotides in length. Their secondary structure includes four short double-helical elements and three loops (D, anti-codon, and T loops). Further hydrogen bonds mediate the characteristic L-shaped molecular structure. tRNAs have two regions of fundamental functional importance: the anti-codon, which is responsible for specific mRNA codon recognition, and the 3' end, to which the tRNAs corresponding amino acid is attached (by aminoacyl-tRNA synthetases). tRNAs cope with the degeneracy of the genetic code in two manners: having more than one tRNA (with a specific anti-codon) for a particular amino acid; and 'wobble' base-pairing, i.e. permitting non-standard base-pairing at the 3rd anti-codon position. The record is from RNAcentral. Lineage: Eukaryota; Metazoa; Chordata; Mammalia; Monotremata; Ornithorhynchidae.
GCCUCCUUAGCUCAGCCGGAAGAGCGUCAGACUCUUAAUCUGACGGUCAGGGGAUCGAGACCCCUAGGUGGCG